UCGGGUGUGAAGAUAUCAUUAUCCCUGAUUUCUCCAUGAUUUUCAAGUAUUCAUACUGUCUGACCCAA
This 68-nucleotide small nucleolar RNA is filed under the name Carassius auratus (goldfish). The record is from RNAcentral. Lineage: Eukaryota; Metazoa; Chordata; Actinopteri; Cypriniformes; Cyprinidae.